Molecule: ribosomal RNA, 625 nt
Filed under: uncultured bacterium
Lineage: Bacteria
Description: bacterial SSU rRNA
Rfam family: Bacterial small subunit ribosomal RNA
Source: RNAcentral
UGCCGCGUGCAGGAAGACAGCCCUCUGGGUCGUAAACUGCUUUUAUUCGGGAAUAAACCUUUCUACGUGUAGGAAGCUGAAUGUACCGAAGGAAUAAGGAUCGGCUAACUCCGUGCCAGCAGCCGCGGUAAUACGGAGGAUCCAAGCGUUAUCCGGAUUUAUUGGGUUUAAAGGGUGCGUAGGCGGCUUAUUAAGUCAGGGGUGAAAGACGGUGGCUCAACCAUCGCAGUGCCCUUGAUACUGAUGAGCUUGAAUACACUAGAGGUAGGCGGAAUGUGACAAGUAGCGGUGAAAUGCAUAGAUAUGUCACAGAACACCGAUUGCGAAGGCAGCUUACUAUGGUGUUAUUGACGCUGAGGCACGAAAGCGUGGGGAUCAAACAGGAUUAGAUACCCUGGUAGUCCACGCCCUAAACGAUGAAUACUCGCUGUUAGCGAUAUACAGUUAGCGGCUAAGCGAAAGCGUUAAGUAUUCCACCUGGGGAGUACGCCCGCAAGGGUGAAACUCAAAGGAAUUGACGGGGGCCCGCACAAGCGGAGGAGCAUGUGGUUUAAUUCGAUGAUACGCGAGGAACCUUACCCGGGCUUGAAAGUUAGUGAAUGAUCUAGAGAUAGAUCAGUGAGCA